This 613-nucleotide long non-coding RNA is filed under the name Equus caballus (horse). RNAcentral's name for it is "lncRNA (ENSECAG00000049367.1)". The record is from RNAcentral. Lineage: Eukaryota; Metazoa; Chordata; Mammalia; Perissodactyla; Equidae.
CAGAAAGCUAGUGGAGAUAUUUUUUGAAACACUGGAAAACUAGCAAUUCUAUCUCAUAGAUAACAUAAGGUCUAUACACCAGUGCUCUCUGAUGCCCUUUGGAUUUAAACAGAGCUUCUUGGAACGUACGUCAUGUCAGAAAAUGAUUUCAUACACUGCAGUAAAUAUAUAUGAGGACAUACAUUCCAUGCUGUAGAAACUGGGUAAGAUAUAAUUAAUAGAAUAAACGCAUGGUAUAAAAAUAACUGUGAGGAUUGAUAUCAGAUAAUAAUAUGUCAUAGUUUGAUUCAAAAGCUCCCUGAGUACUGGGGCCACAUCUAAUUCAUCUUUGUCUUCUACACAGGAUGUGAUACUAAAUGAUUGUUUGUCGAGUUAGUGUGGUUGCCCCUAGGAAUUGUUCUGUAUCCUUCAAGUGGACUUAUGGCUUGUAAUUAGGUUCAGUAAAGUUGCAAGAUAUAAAAUCAACAUACAGAAAUCAGGAUUAUUCACAAUAGCCAAGACAUGGAAACAACCUAAGUGUCCAUCAACAGAUAAAUGAAUAAAGAAGAUUUUGGGUGUGCGUGUGUGUGUGUGUACACACACACAAUGGAAUAUUAUUCAGCCAUGAGGAAAA